Molecule: small RNA, 719 nt
Filed under: Pan troglodytes (chimpanzee)
Lineage: Eukaryota; Metazoa; Chordata; Mammalia; Primates; Hominidae
Description: processed transcript
Source: RNAcentral
ACUCGACCCAGGAAGUUCAGCUGGCCUCACCUCUCAAUUCAUCAAGAAAGACAUCUGAGAUGUAUGAAUAUCCUGUAAGACUGACCCAAAUCCUGCUGGCUUGGUGAGCUCAUCUCCCAGUUGCCUGAUUAUCUUAGAACAUUGAAGAGCUCCAGUGAAGAUGAAGACAGGGACUUGCUAUGGUACCCAGGCUGGACUUGAACUCUGGGGCUCAAGCAUUCCUCCCACCUCAGCCUCCCAAGUAGCUGGGCCUACAAGUCUUCUUGGCUUCAAGUCUUCUUCCUCAGCGGUCUCACUCUGUCACCAAGGCUGGAGUGCAGUGGUGCUGCGAUCUCGGCUCACUGCAACUUCCACCUCCAAGGCCCAAGCGAUCCUCCCACCACAGCCUCCUGAGUGGCUGGGACUAGAGGAGACAUUCAGAUCAGUUGACAAAGAAUGGCUGUUGCUGAAAUGACUUGCUGUCUCGGUGUGGAGUGGAAACAAUCCUGCUAAAUUUCACAUUGCAGUGACACCAAAGCAAAGGACAGAUCUCAAGACAACUUUUAUUGAAAUGGAAAACAGUAAUUUUAACUAAAGAAUAAGAGAAAUGCCAACAGAAAUAAAAGACCCAGAAAUCAGAGGACAAUGUGCAAAACUCUAUAUACUGAGACACACAAAUUGAAACAACCCAAAUAAAUGCCAAAUGCACAAGAAAAUAAAUGUAACUUAUCAGAGGUUAA